This 85-nucleotide transfer RNA is filed under the name Rubrivivax sp. RNAcentral's name for it is "tRNA-Leu". It matches the Rfam family "tRNA". Rfam says of the family: Transfer RNA (tRNA) molecules are approximately 80 nucleotides in length. Their secondary structure includes four short double-helical elements and three loops (D, anti-codon, and T loops). Lineage: Bacteria; Pseudomonadati; Pseudomonadota; Betaproteobacteria; Burkholderiales; Sphaerotilaceae. The record is from RNAcentral. RNAcentral also lists the same sequence under 1 other name.
GCGCGGGUGGCGGAACAGGCAGACGCAGCGGCCUUAAAAGCCGCAGCCGCAAGGCGUACGGGUUCGAGUCCCGUCCCGCGCACCA